Molecule: non-coding RNA, 45 nt
Organism: Schistosoma mattheei
Lineage: Eukaryota; Metazoa; Platyhelminthes; Trematoda; Strigeidida; Schistosomatidae
Source: Rfam
AUCCAACUAACGAGUCCUAAAUAGGACGAAACGCGCAUUUGGGAU